RNAcentral lists this long non-coding RNA (199 nucleotides) under Prunus persica (peach). Its description in RNAcentral is "long non-coding RNA (PPER_LNC006291)". The record is from RNAcentral. Lineage: Eukaryota; Viridiplantae; Streptophyta; Magnoliopsida; Rosales; Rosaceae.
CAAUUGAGUGCUAGUUCUAUUAUUCAACAGGAACAUGUCACUGAAAUUUGUUCACCCUGAGAAUAAAAGAAAAUGAAUUUGAGAAAAGUAAUGGUUAAUUAUUAUUUCAUGUUUACAUAAGAUAGCUUAUAUAUAUAAGAUAGCUUAGAUAUAUAUAUAUAUAUAUAGACACACACACGCGUGCACACAUAGAGUAGCA